GCCACAUCCCCCGGGGGCCCCCGGGCGGCGCCGACCGGGUCUGCCGAGCCGAGCCGAGCGCUCCGGCGGGCGGCGAGCCCCGUGCGAGGCGGCGACGGAGGAGGAGGAGAAGGAGGAGGAGGGCGGGGAGAGCCCCUCCGGCGGUGCGCUCCCCGCGGAGGUCCGCGCUCGCAGUUUCCUCCCCUCCUGCAAACUUUUGGGGGAGCGGAGCGGGGUGUGGGUCCUCCUGCUACCGCCCCGGCCGCAUCCCCCACUCCGGGCGCUGCUGCGUGGCCGGUGUCUGCUGUUGUUGUUGCUUGUGGUUAAAAAAAUAAAAAUAAAAAAUUAAAAAUAGUAAUAAUAAAAAAAAAGAGUGAGGAGGACGAAGAAGAAACCACGGUCCGGGCUGCUUUAUUUACGUAUUUCUCUCUUUUUCGUUUGUUUUGGUUGUUUCCCCCUUCCUCGCCUGGCGGAACUCCGGGAAGUGCCGGCGGCGCCGCGCGGAGCGGAGCGGAGCGGAGGGGUCGUGCCCGGCCCGGCCCGGCCCAGCCCUGCCCGGCCCAGCCCGGCCGCCACCGCCGCUCCGCGCCGCUCCCCCAGCACGCUGUGGCGAGGUGACUCCUUUGACCAAAUUUAGCAGCGGCUCGUCAUUAACAUUCUGAUACAUAUUCACAGCGCACGGGAGGCCGCCGCGCGCGGGGCACCCUGGGAGAUGUAGUCCUGGCGGCGAGAGGCACGGCCGACCCGCGCAGGCAGCAGAGCGCGCGGGACUUUUUCUCCCGGCGGGCACCGCGGCGUCGCCGGCACCCCUCGCUCGCCCCCUCCUCCGCCCCGCCCACGAAGGGCGUCGCCGCCGACCAAUCAGCGCCGCCCGCGCAUUAAUCGCCGUUCUGUAUUAAUGCCCAUCAUUUCGCCGCUGACAAAUGGGCGUGCGGGACCGAGGAAGGAGGGUGGGGGGGCGGCCCCGCGCUCGGCCCCCACGUGGGGACGUGACGCCUCGAGGUCCCGCAGCCAAUCAGGCGGCCGCCCGGGCCUCUCCGCUGCUGUUUCCCCGCCGCCCGAGGCGGGGCUUUGAGAUCGCCGGCGUGCCAUAGCGCCGGCGUUGGAACAGGGGAAACAUUUGUUCACCUGUCAAUCAAAUGCUUAAGGGACGAAAUAUUUCCUCUCGGAAGCGGCGCCCGUGAGAGGAUGCUGUUCGCAGCUACUCGCAGGAGUAAGGCUGAAGGAUUUGACAUUUGAACCUUCUAUCCUAAAGAUACGCUGGCAUUCCGCAGGGCGUUUUCUGCCCCGUCAAAGGAGAGAAGGGCCGCUGGAUCCCAAGGGACGGGUGUUUUUGAAGGUGCGGUGAGCCCAUCUGGAAAUUAACUGUCAGCAGCAACAGAUAGCUAACAACGUGUAGGUCUCACAAGCAGUUUGGCUGCGGCUGCGGUGGCUUCCGUGGUCUGCAGGCAGGAGGGAACACAGCCGGGGAAGCGUGUCCCCAGGCUGGCCUGUCGCGUGCCUGCGUUGCCGCCUCUAGCAGCCCUAAUUUCUCAGAAAGCAACCCCGCACCGAUCGGUACUGUGUCCUAGAAAGACCCCAUGGCAACUUUCCUGCCAAGCCCCAUUGCAGGCAAUACCAUGCACCGGUGCACAUGCGAGCGAUAGGCUCAGGCUCCUUUUUUUGUCUGCGCCUGUCAGGCUUAGAUUUGCCUCCAAGCAGUUUGUACAACUGAUGAUCUGCCGUUUAAACCUGCAUGCAAAAUAGAUGUGGUUUAGUCACGUCAUUUUGGAUGCCUGUACUCAAAAUCCAUAGUCUCAAAACUUUCACUCGGCAAUUAGUGCCCUAAUAAUGGUAGCUAAAUUGCACAUAUUUGCAUUUUUAGUAGUAAAAUAUUUUUACCACCCCCUUCUCUCUGGCUAAGGCUUGUAGUUGCUGAGCGGCCUGAGGCCUUGAUGGGACAUCUCACCAAGGUUCUGCCUUCGUUGCCUGCCCUCCAAGGGCUGGUCCAGUGGUCAGGACCUCAGGAUGCUGGUGUUGGUGCUGAUGGCACCAUCUGUCCACCUGAAGAAGGUGGUGAUGGCAUCCAUCUUCCACUGCCGUCUAGAGUUUAGGAGGUGCAGGGCAGAAAUUCAUCAGCUUUCUGUUUUGAAGGGAAGUUUGUAACCAGAGUCUGCUUGCAAUCUGGCAUGUACUGUCACCUAGAGUGUUUUGUGGUUCUAAAUCCUUCUGAAGCCAUUUUUGCCUAAUCCAGGUCACUGGGAAAUUGACCAAAAUGUGUCCUUCUCACCUUUUGUUUUUCUAUGACCAAAAAUGCCUUCAGGGUUGGCUUCAUUAGUCGUUGUAGUACCCAGGCUUUGUCAUGCUUGCAGAUUUCGUUUCUGCUGGUAUUUUCACAUUUACAGGGUUCAUAAUCAGUGCUCCAGUGGAGUUUAGGCCUCUAAAUACCGUUCAAAGAUAUGGAGACAAAGCACCUGACUAAUUAUGAAAAGACCACUUUGCUUGUGUCUGAACCUUCCAGCACCAAAAAUGCUUUUAAAGGAUUGGUCACGAGUAUCCUGCAUGAAGCAGUGGAGCACUUUCAGCUCCUCUGAAAUGGAGGAUGUUCACCACAUGCCAGGAUCACGUCUCAACAUUCAGAGGUAUGGCUGCAAAGCCUGCAAAUGCCUUAGUGUAGUGCCUGUCACCCAGGUGCUUGAAAGCUGUGUGAGAACAGAACAGUUACAGGACUCUGCGGAGUUGUGAGCGUUUCUGGAAAUAUGAUGGGCGGGUUCAGACCAUAAUUUUAGGAUCCUCAGUGCAGAGAAGAAUUAAUCCAGUUAUAAAAUAAACACUCUGUCUGAAGAUACUGAAUUCUGAGAUAACAGGAGGAUUUUGUGUUCUCUGUAGCCCUGCCUUCGUGAGGUACAGAGUUCCAGAGGGAAAGGUCUUCAGCUCACUAGCAGACCAACGUACAGAGCUCUGCCAUCAAAGCCGUCCCUCUUCUUUUGGAGAGCACUUUGGCAGUGACGUUAUCUACGCCUCAGCACUGUUCAUUCUCUCUUGUCUUCAGUGAAUUUAUGCAGCUAGGGGAAGGACAGAGCUAGAUUUGCUGAGCUUUACCAAAAUGACUGUGUGUACGUGCUUAACUCUUUAACAAAUGAAUCAAUGUGCACUUUUGCCCAGUUUUGCAACAUUCUUGCAAGAUCCAUGAAACUCAGAAGUUUAAGAGAAAGUGCACUGUAACUUGCCACUUUUAAAUGAUGUGAAUUAAGAUCAGGAUGUCGAUGUCAUUCUAUUUUCCCGUCUUUUGUCACUUCUGACACAGCCUUGAUGGAUCUUUAAAUAUAGGUUGUUUUGUAUUUAAAGUUCCUUGUUUUUUCCUUCUUUUAUGAAAAAUCUUUUAUGGUAGGUUAUAUAACCUGUACUAUUAUUUCGCAAGGAGAGAAGGUAGCUUUUAAAUGUUUUACACAUCUUGCUAAAGAUUUCUUAUAACUGAAUCAACUGCAAGAAAUAUUUAGGCAGUUUUACAGGCACAGUAAGUGUGUUGAGUUUGGGUUGGUGUAAAAAAAAAAAAAAGCCUUGUGAAAUAUCGCAGAGAGGCUAAGGGCUGCAAAGUGUCUCAUCCAUUCUUUUUCUUCUAUGAAGUGGUUAUUUCGGUCCUAUUGAUUCAGAGCUAGUCUGCUUUUACUUACAUUUAAAAUCUUAGGUCUAAAAUGAACAGAACAAUGUGUGCCUAUAUAUGUAUAUUUGAGGAUAGGUUAAAAAAAAAACAAAAAUUUAAUUUCCAGUUAAGAUUGUCUAACCCACUCGCAGACUCUGGUGAUCAUUUUAUAGCUGAGCCAUAACCUUAAUACAGAGACCUAUCAGUGCCAGAGGACCUUUAAUAACAGGUCCUAUCCUGAGGCCAUUUGGUAUGUAACCCCACGGAUUUCCUGUCUGGAAUGACUGUAGCUGAAGAGCAACAGGGCUGUGCCUAUUGCUGCAACUUAUUACACUUUAAUUUGAGACCAAGCUACCAGGUCACCAUACUUGGUCAGCUGUGUACUCACAAACACACAUGUGCGCGCACACAUGUUCACAGAAAUAAAGGUGUGAAGC
This is a long non-coding RNA of Cygnus olor (mute swan), 4038 nucleotides long. RefSeq lists it as uncharacterized. Lineage: Eukaryota; Metazoa; Chordata; Aves; Anseriformes; Anatidae. The record is from RefSeq and is a predicted model, not a curated record. The transcript has 2 exons.